CAGAUGCCCUUUAUACUGAUUACAAAGCACAGAUUUCUCCAGCCAGGUGAGGGAAAACAAUAUCGGAUGGAAAGCUUGUGAGAGGGCAGAGAUGAGAAGAGGCGCCGGGGAGAGAGGCACCCACGUGUGUGUUUAUCCAUUUAUGAAAAUGGGGAAUCCAGAGGCAAACAAGCUCAGCAGUCCCUCGGUGCAGACUGACUUUGGCAGGAAAUGUGUUCUUGGCCCUUCCCAGAGAAGACAUGGCAUACUGCAAGAAUAGAUGGGAGCUGUAGACAGCUUGAACCAUGGUGCAAGGUGCCUCCAAAGCCCU
This is a long non-coding RNA of Corapipo altera (White-ruffed manakin), 310 nucleotides long. RefSeq lists it as uncharacterized. The record is from RefSeq and is a predicted model, not a curated record. Lineage: Eukaryota; Metazoa; Chordata; Aves; Passeriformes; Pipridae. The transcript has 3 exons.